GUUUAAUUAGUAUACAUAAGUACAUUUAAUUUCCAAUUAAAAAGUUUUUUAAAAAAUUAAACA
This 63-nucleotide transfer RNA is filed under the name Ixodes persulcatus (taiga tick). RNAcentral describes it as "tRNA-Gly". Lineage: Eukaryota; Metazoa; Arthropoda; Arachnida; Ixodida; Ixodidae. The record is from RNAcentral.